RNAcentral lists this microRNA (25 nucleotides) under Canis lupus familiaris (dog). Its description in RNAcentral is "cfa-miR-8904b". Lineage: Eukaryota; Metazoa; Chordata; Mammalia; Carnivora; Canidae. The record is from miRBase by way of RNAcentral.
UAACAGCACCUGCGCCCCGGGGAGA